CACGUAGGGACCAAGCGUUGUCCGGAUUUAUUGGGCGUAAAGAGCUCGUAGGCGGUCGUGUAAGUCGGGUGUGAAAUCUCCAGGCUCAACUUGGAGGGGCCACCCGAUACUGCUCGACUUGAGUCCGGUAGGGGAGUGGGGAAUUCCUGGUGUAGCGGUGAAAUGCGCAGAUAUCAGGAGGAACACCGGUGGCGAAGGCGCCACUCUGGGCCGGUACUGACGCUGAGGAGCGAAAGCGUGGGUAGCAAACAGG
RNAcentral lists this ribosomal RNA (253 nucleotides) under uncultured bacterium. RNAcentral describes it as "partial 16S ribosomal RNA". It matches the Rfam family "Bacterial small subunit ribosomal RNA", at positions 524 to 776 of the family's 1533-position model. The record is from RNAcentral.